This 504-nucleotide ribosomal RNA is filed under the name uncultured bacterium. RNAcentral's name for it is "partial 16S ribosomal RNA". It matches the Rfam family "Bacterial small subunit ribosomal RNA", at positions 30 to 523 of the family's 1533-position model. The record is from RNAcentral.
AUUGAACGCUGGCGGCAGGCCUAACACAUGCAAGUCGAACGGUAGCACAGAGAGCUUGCUCUCGGGUGACGAGUGGCGGACGGGUGAGUAACGUCUGGGAAACUGCCCGAUGGAGGGGGAUAACUACUGGAAACGGUAGCUAAUACCGCAUAACGUCGCAAGACCAAAGUGGGGGACCUUCGGGCCUCACACCAUCCGAUGUGCCCAGAUGGGAUUAGCUAGUAGGUGGGGUAAUGGCUCACCUAGGCGACGAUCCCUAGCUGGUCUGAGAGGAUGACCAGCCACACUGGAACUGAGACACGGUCCAGACUCCUACGGGAGGCAGCAGUGGGGAAUAUUGCACAAUGGGCGCAAGCCUGAUGCAGCCAUGCCGCGUGUAUGAAGAAGGCCUUCGGGUUGUAAAGUACUUUCAGCGGGGAGGAAGGCGGUGAAGUUAACAGCUUCACCGAUUGACGUUACCCGCAGAAGAAGCACCGGCUAACUCCGUGCCAGCCGCCGCAGUAA